GUAACACGUGGGUAACCUGCCUGUAAGACUGGGAUAACUCCGGGAAACCGGGGCUAAUACCGGAUGGUUGUUUGAACCGCAUGGUUCAAACAUAAAAGGUGGCUUCGGCUACCACUUACAGAUGGACCCGCGGCGCAUUAGCUAGUUGGUGAGGUAACGGCUCACCAAGGCAACGAUGCGUAGCCGACCUGAGAGGGUGAUCGGCCACACUGGGACUGAGACACGGCCCAGACUCCUACGGGAGGCAGCAGUAGGGAAUCUUCCGCAAUGGACGAAAGUCUGACGGAGCAACGCCGCGUGAGUGAUGAAGGUUUUCGGAUCGUAAAGCUCUGUUGUUAGGGAAGAACAAGUACCGUUCGAAUAGGGCGGUACCUUGACGGUACCUAACCAGAAAGCCACGGCUAACUACGUGCCAGCAGCCGCGGUAAUACGUAGGUGGCAAGCGUUGUCCGGAAUUAUUGGGCGUAAAGGGCUCGCAG
RNAcentral lists this ribosomal RNA (479 nucleotides) under Bacillus subtilis. RNAcentral's name for it is "bacterial SSU rRNA". It matches the Rfam family "Bacterial small subunit ribosomal RNA", at positions 110 to 574 of the family's 1533-position model. The record is from RNAcentral. Lineage: Bacteria; Bacillati; Bacillota; Bacilli; Caryophanales; Bacillaceae.